Molecule: long non-coding RNA, 8384 nt
Filed under: Brassica napus (rape)
Lineage: Eukaryota; Viridiplantae; Streptophyta; Magnoliopsida; Brassicales; Brassicaceae
Description: long non-coding RNA (BNAP_LNC003765)
Source: RNAcentral
ACCUCGAUUUGUAUCUUCCUCAUUGUGGCUCACUCCCUGAGGCUGCUGGGUGCAGAGUGGAUGGACGUCGAAGCCGCAAGGCUGGCAUUGGUAAAACAUCCCCUUGGUUGUUUCUUUGCAGAUGUCGCACCAACGUCCGUCCUGGUGGACUAACCGGAGCUCGUGCUGUGGAUGAAGACUGCUUCGGAGGGUAGGGGGACACGUGGCACAAUACUCGUGAAGAUCGUAGUUGCAAGAGGCGCAACGGUAGGUCCUCCCAAAGCCGUAAGUUUCGCAGCCAUCGCAUAUGUACCUGCCAACCCCGUCAACUUUCGUUAAUGGAUGGAUAUGGUGGGCUACUUCUUCCGCUUUCGAAGGAGACAUAUCUCAAUAUUUAUGUUUAUGUUCUUUCUUUCUUUCUUUUGCUUCUUGGGAAUGGUAGGACUUGAGAGAACAAACCUGGAUAUAUAUAUAUAUAUAUGUCUGAAAUGGUGAUCAAGUGGCAACUCAUUGAAAUGAAGAAAUAGCGAGGAAGGAUAGUCCAACCAGAGAAACCAGAACGAGUCAGCUCUGGUGGUAAAGGGGUUGCGGCUGUAACUUCCGCCACCCGGGUUCGAUUCGUGCUGGGAGGGACUAUUUACAUUGCUUGGGUUCCCGGCAAAGAGGUGAAACACACCUUUUUUAUAUUCAAAAAAAAGAUAGUCCAACCAGAGACGUACUCAACAAUACGUGUAAGAGCAUGAUUAUCCCUAGAAACCAAUAAGGUUUCUUAAGUACACUUUAAUGAAUAUUUAAUUAUUAAAUUUUAGCUACCUCACCUCGAUUUGUAUCUUCCUCAUUGUGGCUCACUCCCUGAGGCUGCUGGGUGCAGAGUGGAUGGACGUCGAAGCCGCAAGGCUGGCAUUGGUAAAACAUCCCCUUGGUUGUUUCUUUGCAGAUGUCGCACCAACGUCCGUCCUGGUGGACUAACCGGAGCUCGUGCUGUGGAUGAAGACUGCUUCGGAGGGUAGGGGGACACGUGGCACAAUACUCGUGAAGAUCGUAGUUGCAAGAGGCGCAACGGUAGGUCCUCCCAAAGCCGUAAGUUUCGCAGCCAUCGCAUAUGUACCUGCCAACCCCGUCAACUUUCGUUAAUGGAUGGAUAUGGUGGGCUACUUCUUCCGCUUUCGAAGGAGACAUAUCUCAAUAUUUAUGUUUAUGUUCUUUCUUUCUUUCUUUUGCUUCUUGGGAAUGGUAGGACUUGAGAGAACAAACCUGGAUAUAUAUAUAUAUAUAUGUCUGAAAUGGUGAUCAAGUGGCAACUCAUUGAAAUGAAGAAAUAGCGAGGAAGGAUAGUCCAACCAGAGACGUACUCAACAAUACGUGUAAGGAAUAGUAAAGAGUUGGAAACAUCUUAAUUAAGAAAAUGACGAGGAAACUAAGAAUUUUUUUAUAUACUUACGUAUUUUGUAGCCAGUCUCCAAAUUUUAAUGUGUGGUUGGAGAAAAAAUAAAUAAACAUUUGAAAAUCAACCAAACAUGAGUGAGGAAUAUCUCGACAAUUCGUUGGUUAAUUAUUUAGUUGGAAAUGAUAUUCACCAUAUCCUAAAUUGAUACUCUACUCGCAAAACCUGUUCUUUGAAGUAUUGUCCAAACUUGCCCAAAUUCACUUUUAAUUUACUUUCUGGUCACUUUCAUAUUUGUCUCCUACCAUAUAUUUCAUUAAACUGACAUUCUUUGAUCUUCACGUUAUUGAAUAUAAAUAACUAAGAGAAUCAGCAUUGAGUUUCUCACCAAUAGGUUUUAGUAAUAAAAAAUACUAAAUUUUGACCCGUGCAACCGCACGGGUGUUUGUUUUCACUUUUUUAUACAUAAAUUAUUGUUUUAGAACAUAAGUGGUAUAUAUUUUUAAUGUUAAUCAUAUACUUAAAUAUUUAUAUAACUAUUUCAAAUACAAUAAUUUUAUAAUUUACAUGUUAUAAUUAAUUAAUUGUUUAAACCUUAUGUAUUUGCCACUUCUUAUUAUAUAUUUAUCUUAUUGUAUUUGCAUUUAGUUAUUAAGCAAAUUAAUAUAUUCAUGAGAAAAUAUAUUUAAAAAAUAUUUUGUAUUUAAUUUAUGCUAAAUUCUGACCCGUAUUUCAAAACUGGAUUUCUUUUUACCAAUAUUUUUAUGCUUAUUCAUUUUAGAUAAUUUAUUAUUGUAUAUAUAAAAGUGUAAGAUAUGUUAAUUUUUAGACAUGUAUUAUAUAGUUUGUUAAUUUUAAGUCGUUCUAUCAUCAUAUUAUAUUUUAAAUAAAUAGUUUAUAUUUAUGAAAAUAAAAUUUAUAAAUUUAUCAAUUGAAUAUAAUUUUAUCAUAUUUAUUUUAGUAUAAUAAUUAUAUUUUAACAUGAUCAUGACUAUAAAAGUAGACAAAAUAUGAUAUAAUUUAUUUAUUUUCAUUUCUAAACGAUAACUUAAAAUACAUUAAGUUAUUGUUUAAAUAUUACACAGAUUUAUUAGAAUUUUUAAAAUAUAAUAUAUAAAUAUAUAUUAUAUUUAAAAUGAAAAUAUAUUAUGAUUAAAGUAGUUACAAAGAUUUUAUAUUAUUAACUUUAAAGAAAUACAUGUUAAUUUUUAUACAUGUAUUAUAUAGUUUGAUAAUGUUAACCCAUCUUACCAACAUAUUAGAUUUUAUUUUUGAACAUAAAUAUUUUAUAAUUACGAAAAUAAAAUAUAUAAAUAUAUAAAUUUAAUACAAUUUUAUUAUAUUUAGCUCAAUAUAAUAAUUUUAUUUAGCUCAAUAUAAUAAUUUUAUUUUAAUAUGAUUGAUUAUGAUUAUAUAAUAAAUAAAAUAUUAUAGAUUUUUUUAUGUUUCAUUUUAUAUAACUGAAUAUAUUAAUGUAUAAUAAUAUUUUAAACUAAUUUCGAAAUUAGUGAAAAUAUUUAAAUAUAAUUUCAAAAAUGAAGAUCUUGUAAAAAUCUUUUCAAACAGAUUUGUUAGACUUUUAAAAUAAAUAUAUUUAUAUUUAAAAUGAAACGAUAUCAAAAGAUAUUAUGAUUAAAAUAUUUUAAAAAUUAUAUUUAUUAUUAGUCUGAAUUAAAAUGUAACUAGAUUUUGACCCGUGCAACCGCACGGGUGUUUGGUUUUAUUUUUCUAUACAUAAAUUAUUAUUUUAGAACAUAAGUGGUAUAUAUUUUUAAUGUUAAUCAUAUACUUAAAUAUUUAUAUAACUAUUUCAAAUAUAAUAAUUUUAUAAUUUACAUGUUAUAAUUAAUUAAUUGUUUAAACUAUAUGUAUUUACCACUUCUUAUUAUAUAUUUAUCUUACUGUAUUUGCAUUUAGUUAUUAAGCAAAUUAAUAUAUUAAUGAGAAAAUAUAUUUAAAAAUUAUUUUGUAUUUAAUUUAUGCUAAAAUUUGACCCGUCUUUCAAACCUGAAUUUCUUUUUACCAAUAUUAGAUAAUUUAUUAUUGUAUAUAUAAAAGUCUAAGAUAUGUUAAUUUUUAGAUAUGUAUUAUAUAGUUUGUUAAUUUUAAGCUGUUCUAUCAUCAUAUUAUAUUUUAAAUAAAUAAUUUAUAUUUAUGAAAAUAAAAUUUAUAAAUUGAAUAUAAUUUUAUCAUAUUUAUUUUAGUAUAAUAAUUAUAUUUUAACAUGAUCAUGACUAUAAAGUAGAUAAAAUAGGAUAUAAUUUAUUUAUUCUCAUUUUUAAACGAUAACUUAAAAUACAUUAAGUUAUUGUUUAAAUUUUUUUACACAGAUUUAUUAGAAUUUUUAAAUAUAAUAUAUCAAUAUAUAUUAUAUUUAAAAUGAGAAUAUAUUAUGAUUAAAGUAGUUACAAAGAUUUUAUAUUAUUAACUUUAAAGAAAUACAUGUUAAAUUUUAUACAUGUAUUAUAUAGUUUGAUAAUGUUAACCCAUCUUACCAACAUAUUAGAUUUUAUUUUUGAACAUAAAUAUUUUAUAAUUACGAAAAUAAAAUAAAUAAAUAUAUAAAUUUAAUACAAUUUUAUUAUAUUUAGCUCAAUAUAAUAAUUUUAUUUUAAUAUGAUUGAUUAUGAUUAUAUAAUAAAUAAAAUAUUAUAGAUUUUUUUAUUUUUAAUUUUAUAUAACUGAAUAUAUUAAUGUAUAAUAAUAUUUUAAACUAAUUUCAAAAUUAGCAAAAAUAUUUAAAUAUAAUUUCGAAAAUAAAGAUCUUGUAAAAAUCUUUUUAAACAGAUUUGUUAGAAUUUUAAAAUAAAUAUAUUUAUAUUUAAAAUGAAAAGAUAUCAAAAGAUAUUAUGAUUAAAAUAUUUUAAAAUUUUGAUUUAUUAUUAGUCUGAACUAAAAUGUAAUAUGAAUUUCUAUGAAUAAGUCUAUUAGGUCCAUUUUUUAAAAAAUCACACAUGAAUCAAGGUUGUGACUUCUGUUUUAAUAUAUAAGAUAUGAAUUUCUAUGAAUAGGUCCAUUAGGUUCAUUUUUAAAAAAAUCACACAUGAAUCAAGGUUGUGACUUCUGUUUUAAUAUAUAAGAUAUUCAUAAAAUCUCUAAAAAGUAGAUGAGUUGACUUACCAUCUUAUCAAGUUGUUGACUAAUUAAUUAAGAUGUAUGAAUAAUAGCAUUAACAUUCGUAUGGAAAGAUAGCGUAGGGGCACGUACGGGUAUUACAGAUUUCAAAUAUGUUUUUAGUCAGUUAUUGCCAUUGUUAAUUGAUCAUUAGCCGACGAGUAGAUUUAAAAAUCAACAAAAGUGGAUUUAUAAAAAUAUCAAAGAACUUCUUAGACCAAUUCAAACAUUGCGAAAGAAAAAACAUUGCAUGGGACAUAACUGAUAACUAAUAGAACCAACGAUAAACUUUUGAUAAUGAAAUUCAAAUACUUAUCCAAAUUUGUGAUUAAUCAGUUUCGCGUACAAUGUGUGGAAAAGUAGAUGAAUUGACUUAAUAUCUUCACAAGUCGUUGACUAAUUAUCUUAGAUAUGAAUAGUUACAUUAACAUUCGUAUAAUGGAAAGGUAUAGCUAGGGCACUUACGGGUAUUACAGAUUUUAAAUAAUUUUUAUUUGGUCAUUGUCACUGUUAAUUGAUCAUUAAACGAAGAGUAGAUUAAAAAAUCAACAAAAUGGAUUUUUAAAAUAAUCAAAGGAACACUUCUUAGACCUAUUCAAACAUUGUGUGGGACAUGACUAUGAACGAUGAAACUUUUGUCCAUUUGUACAGCUAUGGAUAAUAACUUAUGAUGUUUCAUGUCUGGUAGAGUAGAGGAGUUGACUCAAUAUAUAUGACAAGUCGUUGGCUAAUUAUUUUAUAAAAUGGAAAAUCAUAUAGUCUUCAUUAUCGUACCGAAUCAACAUAAAAAUCUCCGUUUACUCAUAAUUUUUUAUUUUUGUUAAAGAGAUUUACUCAUAAAUUCCCUCCGCUAUAACCCUACAUUUUGCAUUUUUGUUAUUGUUUUAUUUUUUAAAAAUACUCACUUUUCCUAAUUUGUUCUUUAAACAUAUCCCUUUUUGUUAAACAAAUUAUUAAAAUACGCCACAUGAAUUUCCUAAAGACUUUAAGCUAGUGGUGAAAAUGACAAACUAACAUUUAUAAAUGUUUAAGAAUUAUUAAUAGAAGUUUAUAAACUCAACACAUUAAAUUCUAAACCCUAAACAAUAAUCACAAAAUCCUAGACCCAAAUGUUAGAGUGCUUUUAUUGAAGGAAUUUUUGAAAAAUAGUAUCCAGUUUAUGGUAUUUCAAGUAAUUUUUCAUAUUUGUAUUAUAUUCAUAUAAGUAUCCAAACAAUGUUCAUUUAAACGAAAAUAAGAAAAAAAUUUAUAUUUGUGAAAACGGUUAUCAUUUAAAGGUAAAUUUGAAAGUAAUCUUAUACUUAUGGUAAAAUUUAAAUUUUCCUUAAUUUAGAAUUUAGUAAUUAUUGUUUAAAGUUUAGUAUUUAUAGGAUGGGGUUGGGUUUAUAAAGAUUCAAAAAUUAAUUUUAAAACAUUUAUAAAUUAUUAAGAAGGUUUAAUUUAAUCUUUUCGCAUCAAAAACUUAAAGUACUUAUGAAAAUAAUUAUAUCUUAAGAUUAAAUUUGAAUAUGGUAUCAAAUUUAUGGUAAAACUAAAAUUUUCUCUAAAAAAUCUCUCAUAAGAUUGUAUAGUCUUUGGUUUCUAAGAUUUUUACAUCUUCUCUCUUUCUUUCUCUAUUUUUCAUUUUUUCUGUUUAUUUUUAAUGGUGAGAAACUCUCAUUCGCAAAUCGGGACUCUCACCUAAACUUGACUUCCCUACCUUUUGUGAUCACAAUCAAGAUUCAUCAUAGUCAUCACCAAUGAUGAUUUCUACGUCUCAUAUUAGAAGCAGCAUUCUCAAUUUUCAUGAACAUCUUUACUUGUAAGUCUUAAAGACCAACUUAAGGAUCAAUGACUCAGUCAAAAAAAAAAACUUAGUGAUCAAUGACUACGCUCCAAUUGUCACAAAAGAAAAAGGAUUGGGGCUCGAGUGAAAUGUUAAAUAUUUGAAUUAAAACAAUUUUAAUUUUUCAUGCUAUAUAGCACAAUAGUAACAAAAUCAACAUAAAGCAUAUUUGACAUAUAUAAAAAAUACUAGAAAUCAAUUUUACGAGACAUAGUUAAUGUUAGUAUUUAGUAAAUAUAAAUUUUGUAUAUCUAAAAAUUUUGAAGUCAGUUAUCAAAACCUGAUGGCUUCUUACACAUUAGGGCAUUUUCUCCUUUGUUGGACCAAGUAAAGAGUGGACCAUGACCUCCCAGGUCCUGGAAAGAAGAGAAUGCAACAUCUUUAAAGUCACGCAUACCUUAAGCUAUAAUCGGACUAUCAUUAUAGUUUGAAUGUUCUUUCUGAAAACACACAUACAAUUAGUUUGAAUAUUCUUUUCUAUUUAAUACCAUGUUAAAAUCUCCACUGAUCACACAUGGCUUAUUCAGAAUUAGGGAAGAUCUUUGAUUGGAGCCAAUAAUCAAUAUAAUCCCAGAGCUCUUUCCUCUCUUCUAUGGUACUGUUGCAAAGCGUAAAUAGAGCUGCCAAAGAACUCCUCCGUUUUUCCUUUCAAUAUAUAAUAUUGAACAUGUGAUCAUUGGAUCACUUUUUAAACAUUGGCUGUUAGUUGCACAUUUUCCCGCCAAAGUAGUUUUUAUUUAUUUAUUUAUAUAUAUGUAUAAAACACAGUUGACAACAGUAAUUUAUGAUAUACUUACGUAUAAAACACAGUUGACAACAGAAAUUACAUUGUAUAAAACGAAAAAGAAAGCGAACAGAGAAAUAAGGGACAUAGGUAUAGUAAUGGCAGGAUGGUAGGAUACAUGCCAUUUCAAAGGAAGAAAUAGGAAACGACCGGAGAGAUCACAUCCCCCGUCAAACAAACGUACGCAACAUUAGCGCCAAAACGCGCUAUAUCCCUUUUUCUAAUUCUACCUGGAUCGGCUUCUUCUUCUUCUUCUUCUUCUUCUUCUUCUUCUUCUUCUUCUUCUUCUUCUUCUUCUUCUUCUUCUUCUUCUUCUUCUUCUUCUUCUUCUUCUUCUUCUUCUUCUUCUUCUUCUUCUUCUUCUUCUUCUUCUUCUUCUUCUUCUUCUUCUUCUUCUUCUUCUUCUUCUUCUUCUUCUUCUUCUUCUUCUUCUUCUUCUUCUUCUUCUUCUUCUUGAACCUCACCUCGAUUUGUAUCUUCCUCAUUGUGGCUCACUCCCUGAGGCUGCUGGGUGCAGAGUGGAUGGACGUCGAAGCCGCAAGGCUGGCAUUGGUAAAACAUCCCCUUGGUUGUUUCUUUGCAGAUGUCGCACCAACGUCCGUCCUGGUGGACUAACCGGAGCUCGUGCUGUGGAUGAAGACUGCUUCGGAGGGUAGGGGGACACGUGGCACAAUACUCGUGAAGAUCGUAGUUGCAAGAGGCGCAACGGUAGGUCCUCCCAAAGCCGUAAGUUUCGCAGCCAUCGCAUAUGUACCUGCCAACCCCGUCAACUUUCGUUAAUGGAUGGAUAUGGUGGGCUACUUCUUCCGCUUUCGAAGGAGACAUAUCUCAAUAUUUAUGUUUAUGUUCUUUCUUUCUUUCUUUUGCUUCUUGGGAAUGGUAGGACUUGAGAGAACAAACCUGGAUAUAUAUAUAUAUAUAUGUCUGAAAUGGUGAUCAAGUGGCAACUCAUUGAAAUGAAGAAAUAGCGAGGAAGGAUAGUCCAACCAGAGAAACCAGAACGAGUCAGCUCUGGUGGUAAAGGGGUUGCGGCUGUAACUUCCGCCACCCGGGUUCGAUUCGUGCUGGGAGGGACUAUUUACAUUGCUUGGGUUCCCGGCAAAGAGGUGAAACACACCUUUUUUAUAUUCAAAAAAAAGAUAGUCCAACCAGAGACGUACUCAACAAUACGUGUAAGAGCAUGAUUAUCCCUAGAAACCAAUAAGGUUUCUUAAGUACACUUUAAUGAAUAUUUAAUUAUUAAAUUUUAGCUAAGGACUUUAGUUAAGAAUCACUUAAUUUUUGUGCUACAAAGGUAG